GCCUAUGUUCACCUUUAAACCUAAUUCCCCUCAACACAAUGUCCCUCUAAAUCUCCUGCAUGGGUUCACUGAUGAAUUCCUUGUCAUUACUGCAUUGGUUACAGCAUUGUACAAUGCACUGCACUAAUGUUUACCAUUAAAGGGACACUCCAGGCACCCAGACCACUUCUGCCCAUUGGAGUGGUCUGGGUGCCAACUCCCACUACCCUUAACCCUGCAACUGUAAUUAUUGCAGUUUUUUUAUAAACUGCAAUAAUUACAUUGCAGGGUUAUCUCCUCCUCUAGUGGCUGUCUGCUAGACAGCCACUAGAGAGCACUUCCGUGUCCCUAGCACAGGAAACCUGUGCUAGAGUGUCGCUGGACAUCCUCACGCUAUGUGAGGACCUCCAGCGUCGCUCAUUUCCCCAUAGGAAAGCAUUGAAAAGCAAUGUGCAUUAGGUCUCCCCGGCCGGUGGGCGGGAUCAGUCGACGUAAUGAAGAGGAGGAGCGGCGGCGGAGGGAGAAGCAGCGACAUGGGACAUCGUCGCUGCCUCUGGUAAGUUACUGAAGGGGUUUUCAUUGUUUUCCUGGCACUGGAGUUUCCCUUUAACACUAUAAUGUCACCACUGUUUUUAAUGCAGUAACAUUAUAAGAUCAAAGUGCAUAAUGUAAAUAAUGUAUUUUCACAGCGGGUUGUCUGAGAAAACCACUGUUGUAUACCCUAUCCAUUGACAAAUAAUAUUACAAUUGGAACAAUGAUAUAAAAAAAUAAAAAACUGUGCCACAAAAAAAGGUCCUUAUAAAGGCUUUACUAUGCAUUUAUUCUCAGUCAGAGAUCUCCAAUUAGUUGGCUUGGAAAUCAGCCAAUAACUGUCCAGUCACUAUAUCUUCUUAAUAUCUUCACUGCAGGACAAUGGGAG
This is a non-coding RNA of Pelobates cultripes (western spadefoot toad), 899 nucleotides long. The record is from the annotation of a GenBank genome assembly. Lineage: Eukaryota; Metazoa; Chordata; Amphibia; Anura; Pelobatidae.